RNAcentral lists this ribosomal RNA (1840 nucleotides) under Ctenocephalides felis (cat flea). RNAcentral describes it as "SSU rRNA". The stretch from base 1 to 1169 matches the Rfam family "Eukaryotic small subunit ribosomal RNA". Lineage: Eukaryota; Metazoa; Arthropoda; Insecta; Siphonaptera; Pulicidae. The record is from RNAcentral.
CCUGGUUGAUCCUGUCUGUAGUAUAUGCUUGUUUCAAAGAUUAAGAAAUGCAUGUGCCAGUGCAAGCCACAUUAAGGUGAAACCGCGAAUGGCUUAUUACAUCAGUUAUGGUUCCUUAGAUCGUACCCACAUUACUUGGAUGACUGUGGUAAUUUUAGAGCUAAUACAUUCAAAUAGAAUUCUGAAAUGAAAGGAAUGCUUUUAUUAGAUCAAAACCAAUCGGGGCGGCCUUUCCUUGCUCACCGUUUCACUUGGUGACUCUAAAUAGCUUUGUGCUGAUUGUCUCCCUUAUCAACGGUCGAUGGUAGUUUCUGCGACUACCAUGGUUGUUACGGGUAACGCAAAAUCAGGGUUCAAUUCCAGAGAGCAAACCUGGGAAACGGCUACAACAUCCAAGGAAGGCAGCAGGCGCGCAAAUUACCCACUACCGGCACGAGGAGGUAGUGACAAAAAAUAACGAUACGGGACUCAUCCGAGGCCAUUAGAGGACCAGUCUGGUACCAGCAGCCGCGAUAAUUCCAGCUCCAAUAGCGUAUAUUAAAGUUGUUGCUGUUAAAAAGCUCGUAGUUGAAUCUGUGUCCUAUACUGUGGGUUCACCGCUUGCGGUGUUCAACCGGCAUGUCUGUGGGACGUCCUACCGGUGGGCUUAGCCCGUCAAAAGGCGGCCCAACUCAAAAUCCUACCACGGUGCUCUUCACCGAGUGUCGAGGUGGGCCGGUACGUUUACUUUGCACAAAUUAGAGUGCUUAAAGCAGGCUCAUUCUGAAUAUUGUGUGCAUGGAAUAAUGGAAUAGGACCUCGGUUCUAUUUUGUUGGUUUUCGGAAUUCCGAGGUAAUGAUUAAUAGUGACAACUGGGGGCAUUUGUAUUGCGACAUUAGAGGUGAAAUUCUUGGAUCAUCGCAAGACGGACAGAAGCGAAAGCAUUUGCCAAAUGUGUUUUCAUCAAUCAAAAACGAAAGUUAGAGGUUCGAAGGCGAUCAGAUACCGCCCUAGUUCUAACCAUGAACGGUGCCAGCUAGCGAUCCGCCAAAGUUCCUCUGAUGACUCGGCGGGCAGCUUCCGGGUAACAAAAGCUUUUGGGUUUCGGAAAAAGUAUGGUUGCAAAGCUAAAACUUAAAGGAAUUGACACUCUGCACAUUUCACUCAAAUUGUGCGAAUUUGAACAUUCGCUUAAUUGCGUUGUUCUAAGAAAAUGUUGUAUGUUGAUAUUGGUGUAUUUCAUCUUAUGUAUAAAAAUGGAGCUCUCUUUCAAUUGUCCGAUUAAAACUCGAAAACGGCUGAAUCGAUUUGGCCAGUCUUAGUCUUGAAAAAUUCGUGCCAAUCCAAAGAAAGUCCAAAAGGUGAGAAAUUAUUUCAAAUCUGCGUAGAAACUUUACAUUUUUAAUUCGAAAAUUUUUGUAGAAGCGUAAUUUAAAUAAAACAAUGGACGGUGGCAAUUUCGUGAAAUGUCAAACGCUUUUGACAGAUGAUGUUCAAUUACGUUUAAUAGGAUGUUUUACGCGAAUAUUAUUUAUUUAUGAUAAAUUUGUAGUAAGUAGUUUUGUUUGUAGUUUUAUUUAUAUACAAAAACGUUAGUAAACGGGCCGCAAGUGUUACUAAAGACUCAAAAUAUAAACUUUUUUGAUAUGUUAAUAUGAAAGUGCACUUUUUGGCAUAUUUUUUCUCAAACACGGUGCUCUGAAAGAUCUCAUUUGUAUAAUUAUAUACUCAUUGGUAUUUAUAAAACAUUUUCUAGGUUAUAUUAUUUUUUUAUGUUAUUUAAAUUCAAAACCUAAAUUUGGUAUCGAUCAAAUGGACAUUUUGUCGAAUAACAUUUUCCCAGCUAUAAUUUACCAGAAU